This 208-nucleotide ribosomal RNA is filed under the name uncultured delta proteobacterium. RNAcentral's name for it is "partial 16S ribosomal RNA". It matches the Rfam family "Bacterial small subunit ribosomal RNA", at positions 568 to 774 of the family's 1533-position model. The record is from RNAcentral. Lineage: Bacteria; Deltaproteobacteria.
CGUGUAGGCGGCUGUGUAAGUCUGAUGUGAAAGCCCGGGGCUCAACCCUGGAAGUGCAUUGGAUACUGCACGGCUUGAGUACUGGGAGAGGAUGGGGGAAUUCCCGGUGUAGAGGUGAAAUUCGUAGAGAUCGGGAGGAAUACCAGUGGCGAAGGCGCCCAUCUGGACGGAUACUGACGCUGAGACGCGAAAGCGUGGGGAGCAAACA